Molecule: long non-coding RNA, 3231 nt
Organism: Monomorium pharaonis (pharaoh ant)
Lineage: Eukaryota; Metazoa; Arthropoda; Insecta; Hymenoptera; Formicidae
Exons: 3
Source: RefSeq, a predicted model, not a curated record
UUAAAAAAUACUAUUUUAUAAAGAAUGUUAUGUUAUAAAAAAAUUUUUAAUGCUCUUUCUAUAUGUUAUAUAAAUGAAUUGAAUUAAAAUAUUUACAUCUUUGUCUAGCAGCAGUUUCUUAUGUGGACUUCUCUAUAUUUAUAUAAUGGAAAGUAAACAAGUAUAUUUAAAAAUUACUAAAUACAGCAACUGAAUAUCGAUAGAGAUACAUGAAAAAUUCAGAAAAUGUAGAAAAAUAUUUGAUAACGUAUCGAUGUCAAUCUUAACGUUAUCAUUGAGACAAGACAGUCAAUAUGUUAUCCAUUCUACUAUUCAAUAAUUAGCUCAUGUAAUUGUUCUGCUACUACAUCAUUACAAUUAUUACUGCAUAACAUGUUGCUCCGGUAUGUGCUGUCAGUGGAUAUUCUUUGAUCAAUUUUAAUGAUUAAUGUGAAACAUAUGUUCCUUAAUUAAUAUGCAAAAAUAGUAUGAUUUAUCGAAAGAGACACCUUAUUAACAUUGUAUUUGUAAGAAAACGAAUGUUACUUCUAGAUAUUGAGUAUUAUUUAAGUAAAUUACAAGAUCCACUUUUAUAUAUAUAAUAAGCGCUUAAUAUUAUGUGUGAUGAGAAUUUUCUUGUUUAGUCUUUUUAGUAAAACGAUUUAAAUUGAAUGUAAUUAUUUUUAGUACAAAUUUUCCAAUAUUGAAAGAAUAAUUAGAGUUCCAGAAAUUUAGCUUUUUUAUAAUUUAUAACAAAUUUAUUCUAUAUAAUUUUAAAAUAAUGUUAACUAAUAAUAUUAAUUAAACUGCAAUAGUGAUAACAAACAAUUUCUUUCUAAUAAAAUGUAGUUUGGGAUCAAUUCUACGAAAUACUGAUACGUUUCUUUUUUUAAAGGUAUAUAGUUAUUAGCGCUUAUUUGAUCAUGUGAGUUGAUCGAUAAGUGUAAGACACGUGAUUAAUAAUCUUAAUAUUUCUUCCCGACAAACUGUUUUACACAUUAAUUGUUAGUUAAUUACCGCACGUGUGUUAGUAUCGGCAUAUUUUAACCGCAGCCGUGACCGACACGACGUGUGCAGUAAAUGGAAGAUAAUAACAGUUGUUAAGUAGCCGUUAACAGUCAUAAAAUUAUUCGAGUUAAAAUGCCGUCGUAAAACGUCAUUCAACUAAUCAUUUCUGCUUACAUUCUGCGUCAUUAUGUUUUAAAGUUACAGGUUUUGCGUGAGAGAUUCACAUUUAUUACUGAAUUGCAAUGAAACAACGUUUGUGUUACUAAACAAAGCUUUUCAUCUGAAGAGUAAAGCCUUUGUAUACCGUCCCGAGCUUGUGCACUUAUGCAAAUUUUUAUACCAUGCGCUUGCACCGGCAACGGCAAGUUAUGCGACCGGACAAGUGGUGUGAAAUUGAGAGACACGCGCGGCGUUGUUUCACGCCGUAAAUUAUCCAUGUGAAUGCAAAAAUCGAUCGAGCUAUUAACAAUCCACGUGGAUCGCUAAUGUGAUCCGACAAAGGCUGACAGGAUAUAUGGUGUUCAUCAGCGGGGACCGAACGUAUUGUGCAACCAGCAUUGUCAAGGGAAGGGUUUUUGUGGCUCGACGUGGUGCGAAGGGUCUAGAGCACCGAACAGCGAGACGCAACCACGAUGACGACGAAACACCUAGAUCAUCGGGAAGACUUCUGAUGGAUCGGAGAUAUCGGGCUCUGCGGUGAUAACAUCGCCCUCGUGAGAGCUCGUCACAGUCGAUACGACGACGAUCGCCGCUUAAGAAGCCGUAAAAGCCGCUCUUCGCGGGGAAGAGUCUAGUGCGCUUGUGGCGAGCGAGCCAGAAAGCUCACUCGUUUAGCUUCAUCAUCACUGGAGACCAUGUCGAGAAUGCGCGUCCGCGGCGUGUCCGCCGCUUCAACGGGAACUUCCUGACCAUUUGACGAGUUAAAUCUUCCUUGGGAAUUUGCUCCUUGUCCGGUCCGUCGGAUUUCAGCAUCUCACUGGUAGUGUCCGAGAAUGUCCAAGAAGCAAUGGCUCGUCCUACUGUUGUUGUUCCUCACGUAUCUGACGCUGGGCGCUAUUAUUUUCUAUCACAUCGAGAGCCACUAUGAGAACGAGAAGAUCAUAAGAGAAAGAGAUGAACGCAUUACGAUUAACAGUAAGAAAAUAAUUACGGCAAUAAUCACUGGUAUCGGUUAUCUCGCGCGAGAAUCGCGCGAUCCUUGAUCCAUUUUUAAUCUGGUAAUGAAAAUCCGUAUUAUUCGGAUACUUGAUGUAAUUGUCAUUCUGAUACUUAACAAGCAAAUAUGAUUCAGUGUUGUGAAUUAACCGAGAUUUAUCUACUAAAUUUAUUAUUUUUAUUUUUUGUUAAUCAAGGGAUAUUCUAAUACAUCGUGAUUAAAAGUGAAGGAUGUCUCGAGAAUUAUGUGAAUAAUAAUAUAAAUUUUUAUUCUUUAUUUAAAUUUAAUAGGCUUUAAUAGAUUGAUUAUUGAUCAUUCAAGAUUUUCCAAAGAUAUAUGAGUAUUAAUUUUCAAACCAGCGACAAAAAUGCUACCUUUUCACUAAGAAAAAAUCUAGAUUCUCGAAUAUCAUUUUGCAUACCUUACUCAUAUUUAUUAAUUUCUGUUCGUGAUUGAUAUAAAAAAAAUCUGAUAUAAAAAUAGCAAAACAUAGCAAAAAAUAGUAGUGUAGCUCUUGAUUUCUAUAAGUUGUUUUAAUUGAUGAUCUUCGUCGGAGCAUCAAGGAAAAAGCUGCAUGCGAAUGGAAUAGCGAAAACGUGUACAGAAUUGUAUAUCAUUUGCAAUUCGUAGUUGCAAUGUGACAUUGGGCUAUCUGCAUAUCUCUGUUUGCUACAAGCACAAUUCGAAAAAAACUCGAAAAAAGUCCUUGAGAUUUAGUUUAUAAAUUAACUCUGAUAUAAAAAAAAGAAAUUAGUAACAAUUGUAGCUUUUUGCUGUUGCAAUUAAAUAAUAAAUGAUAUAGCUUCACUGAUAUUGGACGCAUUUUAGUUUAGCCAUUUAAAAGCAUAAGUAAUAGUAAUGAGAAUGUCAUUAUAUUGAUCCCAAUUUAUAUCUUCAAUAUUAAAUGACGUUUUUUAUUUCGAUAAGUGCGAAGAGGCAUCUUCAGAUUUCGUUAUCGCGUAGAUUAAAAUUUAAUAUUAAUUUUCUUUAAGUCUCUCAAUAUUAAUUAGGGAUACAAAGACAUCACUAUCAUGUCUACGUCCAUCGUUUCACGUGUUUGUAAUUAAUCAGUCGAUUUCUGCGUCAUC